UACGGAGGGUGCAAGCGUUAUCCGGAUUCACUGGGUUUAAAGGGUGCGUAGGUGGGUCUGUAAGUCUGUGGUGAAAUCUCUGAGCUUAACUCGGAAACUGCCAUGGAUACUAUAGAUCUUGAAUACCGUGGAGGAUAGCGGAAUAUGUCAUGUAGCGGUGAAAUGCUUAGAUAUGACAUAGAACACCAAUUGCGAAGGUAGCUGUCUACCCGAAUAUUGACACUGAGGCACGAAAGCGUGGGGAUCAAACAGG
RNAcentral lists this ribosomal RNA (253 nucleotides) under uncultured bacterium. RNAcentral's name for it is "partial 16S ribosomal RNA". It matches the Rfam family "Bacterial small subunit ribosomal RNA", at positions 524 to 776 of the family's 1533-position model. The record is from RNAcentral.